GUUGUAUGGUUAAGUGACUAAGCGUACAUGGUGGAUGCCUUGGCAGUCAGAGGCGAUGAAGGACGUACUAACCUGCGAUAAGCUGUGAGAAGUCGGUAAGAGACGCUAUUACUCACAGAUUUCCGAAUGGGGAAACCCACCCGAGAUAACUCGGGUAUCUGUUACUGAAUACAUAGGUAACAGAGGCGAACCGGGAGAACUGAAACAUCUAAGUACCCCGAGGAAAAGAAAUCAACCGAGAUUCCCUCAGUAGCGGCGAGCGAACGGGGAUUAGCCCUUAAGCAUCUUGGAAGUUAGUGGAACGGUCCUGGAAAGGCCGGCGAUACAGGGUGAUAGCCCCGUACACGAAAACAACCUUGAUGUGAAAUCGAGUAGGGCGGGACACGUGACAUCCUGUCUGAAUAUGGGGGGACCAUCCUCCAAGGCUAAAUACUCCUGACUGACCGAUAGUGAACCAGUACCGUGAGGGAAAGGCGAAAAGAACCCCUGUGAGGGGAGUGAAAUAGAACCUGAAACCGUGUACGUACAAGCAGUGGGAGCCCUUCGGGGUGACUGCGUACCUUUUGUAUAAUGGGUCAGCGACUUACAUUUUGUAGCGAGGUUAACCGUAUAGGGGAGCCGUAGGGAAACCGAGUCUUAACUGGGCGUCUAGUUGCAAGGUGUAGACCCGAAACCGGGUGAUCUAGCCAUGGGCAGGUUGAAGGUUGAGUAACAUCAACUGGAGGACCGAACCCACUAACGUUGCAAAGUUAGGGGAUGACCUGUGGCUGGGGGUGAAAGGCCAAUCAAACUCGGAGAUAGCUGGUUCUCCCCGAAAGCUAUUUAGGUAGCGCCUCGGACGAAUACUACUGGGGGUAGAGCACUGUUUGGGCUAGGGGGUCAUCCCGACUUACCAACCCCAUGCAAACUCCGAAUACCAGUAAGUAAUAUCCGGGAGACACACGGCGGGUGCUAACGUCCGUCGUGAAGAGGGAAACAACCCAGACCGCCGGCUAAGGUCCCAAAGUUCUGGUUAAGUGGGAAACGAUGUGGGAAGGCUCAGACAGCUAGGAUGUUGGCUUAGAAGCAGCCAUCAUUUAAAGAAAGCGUAAUAGCUCACUAGUCGAGUCGGCCUGCGCGGAAGAUGUAACGGGGCUCAAACCAGGCACCGAAGCCGCGGAUUCACACUUAUGUGUGAGUGGUAGGGGAGCGUUCUGUAAGUCUGCGAAGGUGUAUCGAGAGGUAUGCUGGAGAUAUCAGAAGUGCGAAUGCUGACGUAAGUAACGAUAAAGGGGGUGAAAAGCCUCCUCGCCGGAAGACCAAGGGUUCCUGUCCAACGUUAAUCGGGGCAGGGUGAGUCGACCCCUAAGGCGAGGCCGAAAGGCGUAGUCGAUGGGAAGCAGGUUAAUAUUCCUGCACGACUUGUAAUUGCGAUGGGGGGACGGAGAAGGCUAGGUGGGCCAGGCGACGGUUGUCCUGGUGAAAGUGCGUAGGUGGUGUUUCUAGGCAAAUCCGGAGACACAACACUGAGACACGAGACGAACACACUACGGUGUGGAAGCCAUUGAUGCCCUGCUUCCAGGAAAAGCCUCUAAGCUUCAGAUUACAAGUCAUCGUACCCCAAACCGACACAGGUGGUCGGGUAGAGAAUACCAAGGCGCUUGAGAGAACUCGGGUGAAGGAACUAGGCAAAAUAGAACCGUAACUUCGGGAGAAGGUUCGCUCUUGACAGUGAAGUCCCUUGCGGAUGGAGCAGUUGGGAGUCGCAGUGACCAGAUGGCUGGGACUGUUUAUCAAAAACACAGCACUCUGCAAACACGAAAGUGGACGUAUAGGGUGUGACACCUGCCCGGUGCCGGAAGGUUAAUUGAUGGGGUUAGCGCAAGCGAAGCUCUUGAUCGAAGCCCCGGUAAACGGCGGCCGUAACUAUAACGGUCCUAAGGUAGCGAAAUUCCUUGUCGGGUAAGUUCCGACCUGCACGAAUGGUGUAACCAUGGCCAUGCUGUCUCCACCCGAGACUCAGUGAAAUCGAAUUCGCCGUGAAGAUGCGGUGUACCCGCGGCUAGACGGAAAGACCCCGUGAACCUUUACUACAGCUUGGCACUGAACAUUGAACCUACAUGUGUAGGAUAGGUGGGAGGCUUUGAAGGCGUGACGCCAGUUGCGCUGGAGCCGUCCUUGAAAUACCACCCUUGUAUGUUUGAUGUUCUAACGCAGGGCCCUGAAUCGGGCUCGCGGACAGUGCCUGGUGGGUAGUUUGACUGGGGCGGUCUCCUCCCAAAGAGUAACGGAGGAGCACGAAGGUUGGCUAAUCCUGGUCGGACAUCAGGAGGUUAGUGCAAUGGCAUAAGCCAGCUUAACUGCGAGACGGACAGGUCGAGCAGGUACGAAAGUAGGUCAUAGUGAUCCGGUGGUUCUGAAUGGAAGGGCCAUCGCUCAACGGAUAAAAGGUACUCCGGGGAUAACAGGCUGAUACCGCCCAAGAGUUCAUAUCGACGGCGGUGUUUGGCACCUCGAUGUCGGCUCAUCACAUCCUGGGGCUGAAGUCGGUCCCAAGGGUAUGGCUGUUCGCCAUUUAAAGUGGUACGCGAGCUGGGUUCAGAACGUCGUGAGACAGUUCGGUCCCUAUCUGCCGUGGGCGUUGGAUGAUUGAAGGGAGUUGCUCCUAGUACGAGAGGACCGGAGUGAACGAACCUCUGGUGUUCGGGUUGUCACGCCAGUGGCACUGCCCGGUAGCUAAGUUCGGAAUCGAUAACCGCUGAAAGCAUCUAAGCGGGAAGCGAGCCCUGAGAUGAGUCAUCCCUGACCCCUUGAGGGUCCUAAAGGGCCGUUGGAGACCACAACGUUGAUAGG
Molecule: ribosomal RNA, 2832 nt
Filed under: Aeromonas veronii
Lineage: Bacteria; Pseudomonadati; Pseudomonadota; Gammaproteobacteria; Aeromonadales; Aeromonadaceae
Description: bacterial LSU rRNA
Rfam family: Bacterial large subunit ribosomal RNA
Source: RNAcentral